ACAAAAACAAGAAGAUGGGGAGAAAAUGUAAACAACAACCAUGAGCCUCGGAAGGGACAUGGUCUAUUCUCCAAACUCUUGCCACACAACAGGGCGUAGCCAGCGUGAUGCAUGGGUAUUCCUAGGAAUACCCAAAAAUCAACUAUAUAUCAUAUAUAUACAACGUAUACAGGUUAUAAAAGUGACCGUUGGCCUAGCAUUCAGGCAUCAACACCGCCCUAGCCAUCGGAAUUGAGUUGCUCCUGCUUGUCGUUCGUUCCUCAGCCUCCAAAUCGAAAUCGGACCUAGGCCAGGGCGACCAAUGGGCAGCAGGAGACGGCAGCGGCCCGUGCUCCGAGAUCGUACCGUUCUACUGUUGUACGCGUCGUCGACGGCUCGUCCGUGAUCGAGUGCGGCGGCGCGCGCUGCUCCUUCCCGCGUCAAAUUUGCCGUAGCUCUCGCUUCUUCCUCUCCAAAAUCUCCCGUCACCGGUGUUCAAUCUCUCCACAAAAGAGCAAGGACGUCGUCAUCCAUCUCCUUCCAUGGCCACUCCUCAUCCAUAGGUAAACUCAUAUCGAAAUACCCCACGCUCCUCUCCACAAGCCAUCCCAGUUCUCUCCUCUUCCCGAACUUCUCCGAGCCCGCAAAGCUCCCGUUCAUGGCAGCUAUGGCCACCCAUCUCCACUUCCUUCCUCACCUCCUGGACCAAGCAAAAUGGAUUCCACUCCUAUAGAUACUUUGUAUUCUCCAACAAGCAACAAAUAACAAAAUAACAUAUAAAGAUCAAUUUAUACUUGAUUGACAUAAUCUAUAGAUACAUGCAUGAACUAAAUAAACAACCUAAUAGACAGACCACUAUAUGCUUUAUCUGUUUUGCCGUGUAUACGUGACAUGGUAUGUGUUUGCAAACAAGAGCUAUCUAAAUUGUUGAACAUGUCCUUUGCUUUUAA
This 929-nucleotide long non-coding RNA is filed under the name Setaria viridis. Its description in RNAcentral is "long non-coding RNA (SVIR_LNC007469)". The record is from RNAcentral. Lineage: Eukaryota; Viridiplantae; Streptophyta; Magnoliopsida; Poales; Poaceae.